RNAcentral lists this ribosomal RNA (164 nucleotides) under uncultured bacterium. RNAcentral describes it as "partial 16S rRNA". It matches the Rfam family "Bacterial small subunit ribosomal RNA", at positions 355 to 511 of the family's 1533-position model. The record is from RNAcentral.
UAGGGAAUCUUCCACAAUGGGCGCAAGCCUGAUGGAGCAACACCGCGUGAGUGAAGAAGGGUUUCGGCUCGUAAAGCUCUGUUGUUAAAGAAGAACACGUAUGAGAGUAACUGUUCAUACGUUGACGGUAUUUGACCAGAAAGUCACGGCUAACUACGUGCCAG